This 500-nucleotide ribosomal RNA is filed under the name uncultured bacterium. RNAcentral's name for it is "bacterial SSU rRNA". It matches the Rfam family "Bacterial small subunit ribosomal RNA", at positions 29 to 509 of the family's 1533-position model. The record is from RNAcentral.
AGCGAACGCUGGCGGCGUGCCUAACACAUGCAAGUCGAACGGUUCUGUUGGGGGCUUGCUCUCGACAGAGUAGUGGCAAACGGGUGAGUAACACGUGGGUAAUCUUCCUUCGAGUGAGGAAUAACUUCGGGAAACCGGAGCUAAUACCGCAUAACAUCUUGGAACGGCAGUUCUAAGAUCAAAGGGGGCGCAAGCUCCCGCUUGAAGUUGAGCUCGCGUCCUAUCAGCUAGUUGGUGAGGUAAUGGCUCACCAAGGCUCCGACGGGUAGCCGGCCUGAGAGGGUGGCCGGCCACACUGGGACUGAGACACGGCCCAGACUCCUACGGGAGGCAGCAGUGGGGAAUAUUGCGCAAUGGACGAAAGUCUGACGCAGCGACGCCGCGUGGGUGAUGAAGGCCUUCGGGUCGUAAAGCCCUGUUGAGGGAGAGAAAGCUACUGUCGGUUAAUACCCGGCAGUGGUGAUAGUAUCCCUAGAGAAAGCACCGGCUAACUACGUGCC